CGGGAAGAGCUCAAAUUUAAAAUCUGGCGGUGUAUUCCGUCCGAGUUGUAGUCUAGAGAAGCAUCAUCCGUGCUGGACCAUGUACAAGUCUCUUGGAAUAGAGCGUCAUAGAGGGUGAGAA
Molecule: ribosomal RNA, 121 nt
Filed under: Ceratobasidiaceae sp.
Lineage: Eukaryota; Fungi; Basidiomycota; Agaricomycetes; Cantharellales; Ceratobasidiaceae
Description: partial large subunit ribosomal RNA
Source: RNAcentral